AAACGUCAAGCAAGUAUUUCAAUGUUGAACACUUGAACUUCAAGCUUAGAAUUCCGAUUUCCGAAUGAGAAAUUACGAUAAAUUAAAUUCGGGAAAACACAAUAACAUUAUAAAAUUAGAAUAUGAAUUCUUGAACAUUGAAGAGAACAGAGUGAUUGAUAAUUUGAGAAUUGAGAGAGAGAUUGAUAAUUUUGAGUGAGGAAAUGAAGAAGAGGGGAGGGUAUUUAUAGAUUUUAAGAAG
RNAcentral lists this long non-coding RNA (241 nucleotides) under Nicotiana benthamiana. Its description in RNAcentral is "long non-coding RNA (NBEN_LNC025482)". The record is from RNAcentral. Lineage: Eukaryota; Viridiplantae; Streptophyta; Magnoliopsida; Solanales; Solanaceae.